GUUGAAACACUGGUUCCUGUAUGAUCACUGAAGUUAAUCCAUUUUGAGCCUGGUCAGUAUCUAGAUUGGUGACCAUUUGGCAAUACCAGGUGCUGUAG
This is a non-coding RNA of Acanthosepion pharaonis, 98 nucleotides long. The record is from the annotation of a GenBank genome assembly. NCBI's taxonomy places the organism in Eukaryota, Metazoa, Mollusca, Cephalopoda, Sepiida, Sepiidae.